RNAcentral lists this unclassified non-coding RNA (224 nucleotides) under uncultured Agaricales. RNAcentral describes it as "sequence contains ITS1". Lineage: Eukaryota; Fungi; Basidiomycota; Agaricomycetes; Agaricales. The record is from RNAcentral.
UUGAAUAAACUCGGUGGGUUGUAGCUGGCUCCUAUGGAGCAUGUGCACGCUCAUCUUGCUUAUCCAUCCACCUGUGCACACUUUGUAGUCUUGAGGGAGAUGAGAGCGAGUUGAUCUGUGUGGAUUGACUUGUGACUUGUCCUCUAGUCUAUGUGUUUUCAUAUACCCCGUAGUAUGUUGCAGAAUGUAUUCAAUGGGCCUUUGUUGCCUAUAUAAACUAUAUA